Molecule: ribosomal RNA, 253 nt
Filed under: uncultured bacterium
Lineage: Bacteria
Description: partial 16S ribosomal RNA
Rfam family: Bacterial small subunit ribosomal RNA
Source: RNAcentral
UACGGGGGGGGUAAGCGUUGUUCGGAAUUACUGGGCGUAAAGGGCUCGUAGGCGGCCAACUAAGUCAUACGUGAAAUCCCUCAGCUUAACUGGGGAACUGCGUGUGAUACUGGAUGGCUUGGAUUUGGGAGAGGGAUGCGGAAUUCCAGGCGUAGCGGUGAAAUGCGUAGAUAUCUGGAGGAACACCGGUGGCGAAGGCGGCAUCCUGGACCAAUAUUGACGCUGAGGAGCGAAAGCCAGGGGAGCAAACGGG